Molecule: transfer RNA, 104 nt
Filed under: Hydrogenophaga sp.
Lineage: Bacteria; Pseudomonadati; Pseudomonadota; Betaproteobacteria; Burkholderiales; Comamonadaceae
Description: tRNA-Ser
Source: RNAcentral
GGGGCCGCAUAGAGACUGGGAUGUUUGACUAUAAAUUAUUCCCCUGCUAAGGGAGUAUGGGGUGUAGAGCCUCAUCGAGGGUUCGAAUCCCUCUCGCUCCGCCA